This 630-nucleotide ribosomal RNA is filed under the name uncultured Bacteroides sp. RNAcentral's name for it is "bacterial SSU rRNA". It matches the Rfam family "Bacterial small subunit ribosomal RNA", at positions 86 to 715 of the family's 1533-position model. The record is from RNAcentral. Lineage: Bacteria; Pseudomonadati; Bacteroidota; Bacteroidia; Bacteroidales; Bacteroidaceae.
CGCUGACGACCGGCGCACGGGUGAGUAACACUUAUCCAACCUACCACCCUUAAGGGGAUAGCCUUUCGAAAGAAAGAUUAAUACCCGAUAGUAUAGCGAUAAGGCAUCUUAUUGCUAUUAAAGAAUUUCGGUGUUUGAUGGGGAUGCGUUCCAUUAGAUUGUUGGUGAGGUAACGGCUCACCAAGUCUUCGAUGGAUAGGGGUUCUGAGAGGAAGGUCCCCCACAUUGGAACUGAGACACGGUCCAAACUCCUACGGGAGGCAGCAGUGGGGAAUAUUGGUCAAUGGACGAGAGUCUGAACCAGCCAAGUAGCGUGAAGGAUGAAGGCCCUAUGGGUCGUAAACUUCUUUUAUAGGGGAAUAAAGUGCGGAACGUGUUCCGUUUUGUAUGUACCCUACGAAUAAGGAUCGGCUAACUCCGUGCCAGCAGCCGCGGUAAUACGGAGGAUCCGAGCGUUAUCCGGAUUUAUUGGGUUUAAAGGGAGCGUAGGUGGACGUAUAAGUCAGUUGUGAAAGUUUGCGGCUCAACCGUAAAAUUGCAGUUGAUACUGUAUGUCUUGAGUGUACAAGAGGUGGGCGGAAUUCGUGGUGUAGCGGUGAAAUGCUUAGAUAUCACGAAGAACUCCGAUUG